CCCUUAGAUGUUCUGGGCUGCACGCGCGCUACACUGAUGCACUCAACGAGUUUACAACCUUAUCCGGAAGGAUUGGGUAAUCUUUUGAACGUGCAUCGUGAUGGGGAUAGAUUAUUGCAAUUAUUAAUCUUCAACGAGGAAUUCCUAGUAAGCGCAAGUCAUCAGCUUGCGCUGAUUACGUCCCUGCCCUUUGUACACACCGCCCGUCGCUCCUACCGAUUGAACGUUUUAGUGAGGUAUUUGGACUGGACCUUCGGAGGUUCGCGCCUCCGUUGCUGUUCGGGAAGACUCCCAAACUUGAGCGUUUAGAGGAAGUAAAAGUCGUAACA
RNAcentral lists this ribosomal RNA (329 nucleotides) under uncultured eukaryote. RNAcentral's name for it is "partial 18S ribosomal RNA". It matches the Rfam family "Eukaryotic small subunit ribosomal RNA", at positions 1470 to 1796 of the family's 1831-position model. The record is from RNAcentral.